GGUGGUUCUCAGGUGACGUACCUCAGAAUCAGGCUUCCUCCUCUCUGGUUCCAGGUGCAUCACCCAAGAACCACA
Molecule: non-coding RNA, 75 nt
Organism: Myotis brandtii (Brandt's bat)
Lineage: Eukaryota; Metazoa; Chordata; Mammalia; Chiroptera; Vespertilionidae
Source: Rfam